AUUGAACGCUGGCUGCAUGCUUAACACAUGCAAGUCGAAGGGCAGCACAGUGCAUAGCAAUACGCAUGGGUGGCGAGUUGCGGACGGGUGCGUAACGCGUAGGACUCUGCCUUUAAGAGGGGGAUAACCCGAUGAAAGUCGGGCUAAUAUCUCAUAAUAUCGAGAGAUCAAAGCUGGGGCAACCUGGCACUGCAAGAGGAGACUGCGUCCGAUUAGCUAGUUGGUAGGGUAAAAGCCUACCAAGGCGAUGAUCGGUAACUGGUCUGAGAGGAUGAUCAGUCACACUGAAACUGAGACACGGUCCAGACUCCUACGGGAGGCAGAAGUGGGGAAUAUUGGACAAUGGGGGCAACCCUGAUCCAGCAAUGCCGCGUGUGGGAAGAAGGCCUUCGGGUUGUAAAGCACUUUAGGUUGGGAGGAAGGUGAGUAGUUUAAGAGAUGAUUCACUUGACUGUACCGACAGAAUAAGCACCGGCUAACUCUGUGCCAGCCGCCGCCGUAA
This 502-nucleotide ribosomal RNA is filed under the name uncultured bacterium. RNAcentral describes it as "partial 16S ribosomal RNA". It matches the Rfam family "Bacterial small subunit ribosomal RNA", at positions 30 to 523 of the family's 1533-position model. The record is from RNAcentral.